CCACCUCGAUAGGACAAGCCUGUAGAUUAAAAGAUGCACAAAUUCUCUUGCCCUGUAAAGCCAAUGCUAAAGCCUUCUAUCAAGUGGACCUACAAGAUAAUCUAAUCUUAAUAGGCCUUAAAAUAUCGCAUGAACUAACGAUUCUACAAAGCUGCUAAAUCUUAAUAUUCUGCGCCCGAAUUUUUCAAAAACUCAAUUUGAAAAUUUUUAAAAAUCGAAAUUAUCAAAAUAUUUUUAUUGCAUUAUUCACUAUGCAAAUUCAUAUCAUAUCUCAAAAUCACCUAAGGUAAAUAAUUACACUUAAUAAAAUAAAUAGUCAUAUUAAUAUAUCAAUUGAUUAAGAUCUUAACUAAAUAAUUUUAAGUAAAGCAUGAUUUAACAAAAAUUAAAUCAGCCCAACAUAUAAAAAUAAAUAAAAGCAGCCCAAUUCUUUUAUUAAAUCAGUCCAUGUUAAAUCAUAAUAUAGGCCCAAAAUUAAUAGCCCAAUACUAAAAACUCUAGCCCACAACCCAUCUUCUUUAUUAAAAGAAACAUCACACACACACACAACCCACACACGCACACACACAGCACAGACGCACGCACACACACACACACCCAGACGCACCCCCCCUCUCUCUCCCUUUCAUGCUGCCGCCGCCGCCGCCUGACGGCGGCGCCGCCCGACGGAGGCCGGCAGCCGCCCCCUCCCCCUCUCUCUUCUCCGACUUCUCUCUUUUCUCCUCUCUCUCCCUUUUCUCCCAGCCCUCUCUCUUCUCCUCCAUCUCUCCCUCUUCUCCGUCGACGGCAGCGGAAGCCACCGCCGGCGCCGCAUCGACCGCAGCACAGCAGCAGCCGCCGCCUCCCCUUCACUCGUCUCCCUCUUGACCGGCAGCAGUAGCUGCCUCCGCCGUCCCUGCACGGAGCAGCGCCGCUUCCUCUCCUUUCUUCCAGAUCUGGCACCGCCGGCGUCGUGUCGACAGCAGCACGGCAGCAGCUGCCGCCUCCUCUUCUUUCUUCCUCUCGGCCGGGCGAGCAGCAGCACCCCGAAGGACCGCCGCGCCGCCGUCCUCGCCACCACCACCUCCGAUUCUCCCUCUCAAUCUGCCGCUGCUCCUCUCCUUUCCUCCAGAUCCGGCGACGCCGUCGCCCUCGCUUCGUCCGACAACAGCACAGCAGCGCCGCCGCCGUGGCAGACGGCCUCCUCCCUCUUGCCACGCCGAGCAGCCGCUCGCCUUCUCCGGCUACCAAUCGACGCCCAACACCCCUCCCCAAAUCAUCUCAAAACCCUCUAUCACAUUCUAGUCUUCUAUUUCAUUUGAAAUGGUGUUGAGAAAUUUUUAAUCUUUUCUUAAAAAAAUUCAAUCUUUCUUAUGCAAAAAUUCAGUCUUUUCCUUAUGCAUUGGAAAAAAAGCACUUGAGAAAUAUACUUACAGACUGUGUACUUUCUUGAAGGGAUGCUUGUGAUUUGAAUGAAUUUUUUUGGAGAGGAAAGAAAGCUGAUGAUAAUUGGAUUUUCUGUGAAUGAUCUGAUCUUGAGUUUUGGCAAAUUUAUUUCAUGAGAGAAAAAUGCAUGUAAAGUGAUUGGUUCAAAAUGUGGUGAGUUGCAGAUGCAUGUAAAGUGAUUGGUUCACAAUGUGGUGAAAAUGUGGAGUGAUACGUGGAUGAAUUUUUGAUGAAUGAGGAC
Molecule: long non-coding RNA, 1666 nt
Filed under: Salvia miltiorrhiza (redroot sage)
Lineage: Eukaryota; Viridiplantae; Streptophyta; Magnoliopsida; Lamiales; Lamiaceae
Description: long non-coding RNA (SMIL_LNC005936)
Source: RNAcentral